AUGAAUGCCCUAUCAUGGAACUGCCGGGGGGAGGGGACCGCCACAGUUCGGGAGGUGUUGGCCCUCUCAAAAGCCAAUAACCCCAAGCUAGUCUUCCUUUGCGAGACUAGACAAAGUUCUUCGAGGAUUGAGAAGUUGCGAUGGAGGCUUGGCCUCAAAGGUUUCCAUGGUGUUGACAGUGACGGAAGAAGUGGAGGCUUAGCCCUUUUCUGGGAUGAGUCGUUGGCUGUGACAAUUUUGGAUUCAUGCGUUAGAUAUAUUGAUGUGAGGAUCACAGAGGGGAGCACCGGUUUGACUUGGAGGUGCACCUUUGUGUAUGGUGAACCGAGAGUGGAGAACAGGCACCGGAUGUGGGAUCAUCUUUGCAGGCUUCGUGCUAUUUCAACGAAACCAUGGAUGGUUUGUGGUGACUACAAUGAAGUCCUAUGGCAGCAUGAGCACCUAUCCCGAUCCAUGCGUGCUGAAUCACAAAUGGAGUCAUUCAGGGAUUGUCUGCAGGUGUGUGAGUUAGAGGACCUUGGUUUCUGCGGCUUUCCAAUUACAUACAGUAAUGGCCAAGCUCUAGGACGUCCAAGUCCCUUUGGACCGGGCAUGCGCGGACGAAGCUUGGCGGGACUUGUUUCCGACGGCGCGGGUAACCCACCUCGCAACGUCGUGCUCUGA
RNAcentral lists this ribosomal RNA (663 nucleotides) under Triticum aestivum (bread wheat). RNAcentral's name for it is "partial small subunit ribosomal RNA". The record is from RNAcentral. Lineage: Eukaryota; Viridiplantae; Streptophyta; Magnoliopsida; Poales; Poaceae.